CCAAUAGCGUAUAUUAAAGUUGUUGCAGUUAAAAAGCUCGUAGUUGAACUUCGGGGUUUACCCAUUGGUCAGGCUUAAUUGUCUGCACUGGUGAGAUGAAUCUCUACCUUCUGAGGAACUUUCAUGCCAUUUAUUUGGUGUGAUGGGAAAUCAGGACUGUUACUUUGAAAAAAUUAGAGUGUUUAAAGCAGGCUAACGUCUGAAUACAUUAGCAUGGAAUAAUGAAAUAGGACGGACUGAUUCUAUUUCGUUGGUUUCUAGGAUCACCGUAAUGAUUAAUAGGGUUAGUUGGGGGCAUUAGUAUUCAAUUGUCAGAGGUGAAAUUCUUGGAUUUAUUGAAGACUAACUACUGCGAAAGCAUUUGCCAAGGAUGUUUUCAUUAAUCAAGAACGAAAGUUAGGGGAUCGAAGACGAUCAGAUACCGUCGUAGUCUUAACCAUAAACUAUGCCGACUAGGGAUCGGACGAAGUUAAUUUUAUAAUGACGCGUUCGGCACCUUACG
This 502-nucleotide ribosomal RNA is filed under the name uncultured Diversispora. RNAcentral describes it as "SSU rRNA". It matches the Rfam family "Eukaryotic small subunit ribosomal RNA", at positions 591 to 1092 of the family's 1831-position model. Lineage: Eukaryota; Fungi; Glomeromycota; Glomeromycetes; Diversisporales; Diversisporaceae. The record is from RNAcentral.